AUGGAACUCCCUUCAGUGUGUGUGUGUGUGUGUGUGUGUGUGUGUGUGUGUGUACAUGUCUGUGUGUGUGUGUGUGUACAUGUCUGUGUGUGUGUGUGUGUGUGUGCAUGGACAUGUCUGUGUGUGUGUGUGCAUGUUCAUGGAAAUGUCUGUGUGUGUGUGCAUGGACAUGUCUGUGUCUAUGUGUGCGUGCAUGGUCAUGUCUCUGUGUGUGUGUGUGUGUGUGUGUGUGUGUGUGUGUGUGUGUGUGUGUGUGUGUGUGUGUGUGUGUGUACAUGUCUGUGUGUGUGUGUGUGUGUGCAUGGACAUGUCUGUGUGUGUGUGUGCAUGUUCAUGGAAAUGUCUGUGUGUGUGUGCAUGGACAUGUCUGUGUCUAUGUGUGCGUGCAUGGUCAUGUCUGUGUGUGUGUGUGUGUGUGUGUGUGUGUGUGUGUGUGUGUGUGUGUGUGUGUGUGUGUGUGUGUGUGUGUGUGUGCAUGGACAUGUCUGUGUCUAUGUGUGUGUGCAUGGUCAUGUCUGUGUGUGUGUGUGUGUGUGUGUGCAUGGUCAUGUGUGUGUGUGUGUGUGUGUGUGUGUGUGUGUGUGUGUUAGUGUGUGCAUGGACAUGUCUGUGUCUGUGUGUGUGCAUGGACAUGUCUGUGUGUGUGUGUGUGUGCAUGGACAUGUCUGUGUCUGUGUGUGUGUGUGUGUGUGUGUGUGCAUGGACAUGUCUGUGUGUGUGUGUGUGUGUGUGUGUGUGUGUGUGUGUGUGUGUGUGUGUGUGCAUGGACAUGUCUGUGUCUGUGUGUGUGUGUGUGUGUGUGUGUGUGUGUGUGUGUGUGUGUGUGCAUGGACAUGUUUGUGUCUGUGUGUGUGCAUGGACAUGUAUGUGUGUGUGUGUGUGUGUGUGUGUGUGUGUGUGUGUGUGUGUGUGUGUGUGCAUGGACAUGUCUGUGUCUGUGUGUGUGUGUGUGUGUGUGCAUGGACAUGUCUGUGUGUGUGUGUGUGUGUGUGUGUGCAUGGACAUGUCUGUGUGUGUGUGUGUGUGUGUGUGUGUGUGUGUGUGUGUGUGUGUGUGUGUGUGUGUGUGUGUGUGUGUGUGUGUGUGUGUGUGUGUGUGUGUGUGUGUGUGUGUGUGUGUGUGUGUGUGCAUGGACAUGUCUGUGUGUGUGUGCUAGUGAAAGUGCUA
This 1167-nucleotide long non-coding RNA is filed under the name Oncorhynchus mykiss (rainbow trout). RNAcentral's name for it is "lncRNA (ENSOMYG00000053426.1)". Lineage: Eukaryota; Metazoa; Chordata; Actinopteri; Salmoniformes; Salmonidae. The record is from RNAcentral.